RNAcentral lists this ribosomal RNA (560 nucleotides) under uncultured Roseobacter sp. RNAcentral describes it as "bacterial SSU rRNA". It matches the Rfam family "Bacterial small subunit ribosomal RNA", at positions 338 to 916 of the family's 1533-position model. Lineage: Bacteria; Pseudomonadati; Pseudomonadota; Alphaproteobacteria; Rhodobacterales; Roseobacteraceae. The record is from RNAcentral.
CCUACGGGAGGCAGCAGUGGGGAAUCUUGGACAAUGGGCGCAAGCCUGAUCCAGCCAUGCCGCGUGAGUGAUGAAGGCCUUAGGGUCGUAAAGCUCUUUCGCCAGAGAUGAUAAUGACAGUAUCUGGUAAAGAAACCCCGGCUAACUCCGUGCCAGCAGCCGCGGUAAUACGGAGGGGGUUAGCGUUGUUCGGAAUUACUGGGCGUAAAGCGCGCGUAGGCGGACCAGAAAGUUAGGGGUGAAAUCCCGGGGCUCAACCCCGGAACUGCCUCUAAAACUCCUGAUCUAGAGUUCGAGAGAGGUGAGUGGAAUUCCGAGUGUAGAGGUGAAAUUCGUAGAUAUUCGGAGGAACACCAGUGGCGAAGGCGGCUCACUGGCUCGAUACUGACGCUGAGGUGCGAAAGUGUGGGGAGCAAACAGGAUUAGAUACCCUGGUAGUCCACACCGUAAACGAUGAAUGCCAGUCGUCGGGUAGCAUGCUAUUCGGUGACACACCUAACGGAUUAAGCAUUCCGCCUGGGGAGUACGGUCGCAAGAUUAAAACUCAAAUGAAUUGACGG